CUGCUGCCUUCCGUAGGAGUCUGGUCCGUGUCUCAGUACCAGUGUGGGGGACCUUCCUCUCAGAACCCCUACGCAUCGUCGCCUUGGUGGGCCGUUACCCCGCCAACUAGCUAAUGCGACGCAUGACCAUCCGUAGCCGGAAUCGCUUCCUUUAAACCCGAGGAGAUGCCUCCUCGGGUUGUUACGCGGUAUUAGACGGAAUUUCUUCCGCUUAUCCCCCUGCUACGGGCAGGUUUCAUACGUGUUACUCACCCGUGCGCCGGUCGCCGGCGGGAGUUA
Molecule: ribosomal RNA, 279 nt
Filed under: uncultured bacterium
Lineage: Bacteria
Description: partial 16S ribosomal RNA
Source: RNAcentral